AAAUAUUAAAAUCAACGAAAGCAAUAAAUGACGUUAUUUCAUUUCUUGAUUUCAAUUGCAAUGUUCACGGUUCAGCCACGUAGAGCUAAGGACCCAGAAUAGUAAACCAGCUUUACCAGUUUACCCCCUUCGAUCAACAGGAAAAAACGGUGAAGGAUAUCCUCUUUUGACGGAAAACAACCCGAUCUAUGGCAGUGUUCAAUAACACACCAACGCUUUUAUUUUCCAUCCCUUACCAGCAACAAAUGAGAUUGGUGAAGGAAACGCCUCUUCGGGUGGAAGUGAUUUCCGUUAAUUUCAAUAGGAUAUUGGGAUCGGAAAUUUGAGGCAACAAGCGAAAGACGGACAUAUAGCUAAAAAGGAAAGUGAGGCCGAUCAACUUAAUAGAGUCUUAAAUUGAAGAACGGUCCAGAGGAAGUCAUCAUUAUACCAGCAAAGGGAGUUUUUCUCAACCAAAACUCAAAGCCACCUCCUUCCGAAGUCAUCAACGGAAAAAGAUGGAAGGAAGAUGCCUUUAAAUUUAUUCCCCUUCUGUUAAUUAGUAGUUAGAGUUUAGGUGAGAGAAGUAAUUUUUUUUUUGGCAAUAAGUAAAGUAUUACGUUGAGAUAACUGCUUUGGAUAUGUG
Molecule: long non-coding RNA, 625 nt
Filed under: Arachis ipaensis
Lineage: Eukaryota; Viridiplantae; Streptophyta; Magnoliopsida; Fabales; Fabaceae
Description: long non-coding RNA (AIPA_LNC001531)
Source: RNAcentral